Salmo salar (Atlantic salmon) is the source of this 53-nucleotide non-coding RNA. Lineage: Eukaryota; Metazoa; Chordata; Actinopteri; Salmoniformes; Salmonidae. The record is from Rfam.
UCCUAACAAUAGGUAAGUCGCUCUGGAUAAGAGCGUCUGCUAAAUGACUUAAA